RNAcentral lists this ribosomal RNA (717 nucleotides) under uncultured organism. RNAcentral's name for it is "bacterial SSU rRNA". It matches the Rfam family "Bacterial small subunit ribosomal RNA", at positions 62 to 751 of the family's 1533-position model. The record is from RNAcentral.
UCGAACGAGAAAUCUUUAGCUUGCUAGAGAAAGUAAAGUGGCGCACGGGUGAGUAACGCGUGGGUAAUCUGCCUCCGAAUCGGGGAUAACAUUGCGAAAGCGAUGCUAAUACCGGAUAAAAUCUGGUUGGCUUAGGUGAACCGGAUCAAAGGUGGUCUCUUUAUAAAAGCUACCGUUUGGAGAUGAGCUCGCGUACCAUUAGCUAGUUGGUGAGGUAAAGGCUCACCAAGGCGACGAUGGUUAGCUGGUCUGAGAGGAUGAUCAGCCACACCGGAACUGGAACACGGUCCGGACUCCUACGGGAGGCAGCAGUGAGGAAUUUUGCGCAAUGGGGGAAACCCUGACGCAGCAACGCCGCGUGAGUGAUGAAGGCUUUCGGGUCGUAAAGCUCUGUCAGGUGGGAAGAACCCACCAAGUGUUAAGACCACUUGGUGCUGACGGUACCACCGAAGGAAGCACCGGCUAACUCCGUGCCAGCAGCCGCGGUAAUACGGGGGGUGCGAGCGUUAUUCGGAAUCAUUGGGCGUAAAGGGCGCGCAGGCGGUUUUGUAAGUCAGAUGUGAAAUCCCGGGGCUUAACCCCGGAAGUGCAUAUGAAACUAUGAGACUUGAGUAUGGGAGAGGGAAGCGGAAUUCCUGGUGUAGCGGUGAAAUGCGUAGAUCUCAGGAGGAACACCGGUGGCGAAGGCGGAUUCCUGGACCAAUACUGACGCUGAGG